Pogoniulus pusillus (Red-fronted tinkerbird) is the source of this 5011-nucleotide long non-coding RNA. RefSeq lists it as uncharacterized. The record is from RefSeq and is a predicted model, not a curated record. NCBI's taxonomy places the organism in Eukaryota, Metazoa, Chordata, Aves, Piciformes, Lybiidae. The transcript has 3 exons.
GCAGCUACUGGCAUAUCCUGUCCAACCCCAUCCCCCAAUAUGACUGCAUUACAAACAAGGGUAGAAAGGCAGCUACAAAAUUUAAGGACUGCACUGAAGAUGAGCAGGAAAAAAAAAUUCCCAUCACCAAACAAACAAAGAAAGGACACACACUAUCAGGCACACGGGGAAGGUGGAAGUGACCAGGCAGACAAAAAGUGAUCAUGUUGGCUGAGGUCGCUCCUGCUGCUGCCAAUGAGGGGGGUGUGACAGUGAUCCGGCAGCAUGUGCCCUGCUUGAGCAGCUAGGCAAUGGUGUGGCAGACGGUCUGCACUCAUUUGCAGGAAAUGGAGGAAGGAAGAACUAGAAAAGGAACAGCUGGAUCCAGAGCUCACUGGAGAAGGCUCUCAGUCUGCAAUAGCCUGGACAUGUAUAGCAAAUGGAGCAAGACAAAUAUUCAGCCUACUCGGAUGUGAAGGGAUGGGAUGGCUAAACAAUUAGCUGGUGCCAAAUCCCACUUAUAGAUUAAUGAAAUGGAAAAUAAAAGAGAUAGAGCAGUUUGGUUCCUGAGCAGUCGACAAUUCCUGAUUUACACACCUCUGGGACACUGCAUCUCCACCCCUCAGUCCUGCUUUUCAAGGCUUCACAGACAUCUGCUGUUCUGACCUUCUCUGAUGGUAAAAACAUUUUACAAGAGUCCAUAUUUGUCUAUACUUUAAAGCAAUGAAGAAGAGUUUGAUUCACAGCACUCUAUGCAUCACCAGUAGCAGGCAGAAAUUAAUCAUUAAAAUAAUGGUUUUUUCAGUGUACAGGGCAGCAUUUAUCAGAGUUAGAUGCCUAGGUAAACCUUUACCUUGGCAUCUGAAAGGGGUAACCUGACUUUCAGACAUGCUUAGCACCACUGAUGAGAAUUACAGAUAGUAGCUUGUGCAUGAGAACCUAACGUCUAUUUUGUUGUCACUGUACUAUAUAUAAGAGUGUGUAAAGGUAAAGCAGCUUAGAGUCUCCAGAUGAAGGUUUAAGAGUAAGUUUACAGUACUUCAUCCAAAUAAGACAUCUAAGACAGAAAGCAAGAUGGGGAGAGAAUAAGAAUGUGAUGAGCGCAGAGAUGCCUUUUUGGACUACUGCUUUACUGUUACCUUUCCUUGGGGACAGAAAAAAAAACAAAUAACAGAAAAUAUAUGCUCUUCUUUUAUUCUUUCAAUCUGUCACCCACCCAAAUAUGGCAGAAGUCGUCAAGUCUUGAAACCAGGAGUCCAGAGAAGAGAUGGACAAAUGUUCAUGUUGCUUUCCAAGCUGCAUUAGCAAGGAUUAAAUGCCAGCAAGAUUGGAAGAAAUAGCAAAUUCCCACUUAAGCUUUCUCCCUCAGUUGAAGAGCAAAGAAAUCUGCAUCCGGGUCAGCUCAUUUCAUAAUUGCUUCCCUCAGAGGGCUUUAGCUACCACCUUUAAUGCAUCUGGUGUUUGUCACUGCUGGAGAGGGUAAUGCUUGUUCAGAGCAUCAAUCCCCUUAAAUCAGCCCAGCUGUACAUACAUUUCUCAUGAGCGACAUACACACUGUUUUCCAGUUUGAUUGCACUCUGAGCAGAGCAGCAGCACGUUCCUGCCCAUUCAUUCACCUUUCUUGCAGCACUUGCUGACAGCAAAAGUUUGAUCAAGCCUACCUCUCUGGACCAUGGUUCUUGGUCAGAAGCUGGGGAGGCUGCAUGUGCCUCGCAGAUUAAUUUUGUGUUAACAUUUGUGAGGCUACAUUAGCUUGGACAUGGCAGUCCUCACCCAUUAGACUUCCUGCCAAGACCACAAACCAGUUUCUGCUAAACUCAUAUAAGACAUUGGCAUAGGUCGACAGAGGUCCUACCUCCCUGGGCUUUCAUCCCUUGCUGAGAGAGUUCAGACUGGUUUAUCAAGUGCCAACAGCGUUCAUGCUUAUUCCAGGACAGCAUGGGAAGUGAAGCUGCUGAAUCCAUAUCUCAGCACUGAGCUGUACAGCAUUAGGAUGCUAAGAUGUCAGGAUCUGACUCCUCCAAUGGGAGCUGUCACGGACAUUUAAGUCAGCCCAGUGUGAAGCUGCCUCUUCUCUGCUUUGCUGUCUGAACAUGCAAACAGGAGCAGAGAGUGAGCACCUGCAAGGAGAAACCAUUGCCAGAAUCCACUCCUGAAAGGUGACUUUAGGCAAGACUCCUGAGAUGCUGUCUUUCCUGAAGCACAGUCUCCCUCUCUAGAUGAAUUUUAUUUUGAUUCAAGUCAUGAGCUCCCUUCAAACUGAGCUCCCAAAAAUCACAGUUGGUUUUCAGAUAGCCACGGUGAGUCACCCAAGCCUGAAGAAAAUGCUUCUUCUUUCUUUAUGGAAGGAAAGCACUGGAGCAUCCUCUUUUGAAUUCAGCAGAGGUUUUGACUGGUGCCUUUUUUGGGAACUAUUUUCUUCUUGCUGUUUUUUUGUGGGUUUUGUUUUGUUUUCAGUACCUACAUGCCAUGUUAAAGUCUUGUUCUCCCAUCACCAUUUGCAGCUGUGCCAACAGGAGAGCUGAGUUUUACUUCUGUGACUCUCACAGGAGGAAGACAACAUUGUCCAUGGCUGCUGGCACAAGGAACAGGUCAGUCUGAGCACAAACAGCUUGCUUAAACGCAUACCUCCUGAAACUUUCACACUUAAGGUCAUCUGUUUUCUUUGAAAAUAUCUAAGAAAGAGGAAGAGUUCAAAGAAGCAGACCAUCAACUGUCAAACAUCAGUCCAGAGUUUCUUCGACCCCCUGAGAGGACAGAUGCUGGUAGAUUGAUUGACUCCUCAUAGGAGACCUGGGAAAAUGAUGCUUUGGAGAAAAGUAAAAUGGGAUGGAUGCCCAAUCUUGAGUCUUCAUGGAACAAAAGUCUGCAGAAAUGUUGGACCACAGGAAACGAGUUAUGCUAAAGAAAAACACCAGCAAGAAGGGGUCUAGGGACCUUUCAUGAUGGGCUGUGGGCUGAGACAGAGGUCAAAGCAAGCUUUUUUAAUAAAACCAAGGUAUUCUAACUCCAGAAAAAAAAAAAUCACAUUAUUCCAACUCUUCUAGGCUCAUUGGAAAACCUGGAGGGGAAAAAAAGGCAGGGGCGCUGGACCAAAGUUUUGUUUUCUUCUAGACUUACAACCUUCUCCAGCAUGUUCCCAGCAGAGCAAAAGGACACGUGUCAAGCCACAACACCAGGGUCAAGGCUUCAAGGACUUUGUCUUUGCUUACACAGAUGGACAAGCCCCCCAGCAUCCUGGGCACAACAAGUGGCCAGCCCUUGCUUUUAAGCACUGCUAUCAUUCCUAUGUGGGUGUAAGCUUAGCAAGCCUCACUGCUUUUGACAGGUCAUACUAAUUGUUCUGAAGAAACUAUUUCUGCUGAGCUUUUAUAAGAUGAUGAAGAUGGAUUUAAAAUAAACUUUCUAGCUGUUUUGAGUGCACCAACAGCACUGAGAGAGCAGACAGUGAUGCUGCUGCUCGUAAGACAACUAGUAAGGUUUGCACUUUUUACUUCCCUGUGACCUCAUACGCCACGUUUACGUUUUUCCUCACACACAACCUCACAUGCUAAUAAAGGCUCACAGUUCUUAAAUUAAAGCAUUAGUAAAACAGAUUAAGACUGAAUGGGAUUUUUGUACAGCUAAAUCUCAGCUGAGGCUGUCAAAACUUAGAGCUAGCAAAGGUCUUAGAGGAGAAGAAAUCUCAAUUUGUUUUUUUAAACUAAUUCCUAACUAUCAGGAGUAGCAGUGAUAUGUGUAGAGAGCCAGAAAGUGUGGAAGGAAAGAAAGGGCUUGUGAGAGAAUGCUGGCAAUAGCAGUUGUCCAGCAGAAAGUCAUGGAUUAUAGAAAGGGAUAACUAAAUCAGCUAGAACUUUUCAGGUGAAGGAAAGAGACAGACUCAAGACCCUUGGUGAAGUCAUAAGGAGUCUGAAAAAGGUAAAGAGCAAGUGGUGAUCCACCACACCUUUUAAUACAACAGUCAGAGAACACCAAAUGAAGUUUAGGAGUCAGCAUCACACAAAACAGGAGAUAGCUCCUCACAAAAUUUGUAGUCAAAAUCUCAGACCCUAUUGAAAAGCAAUGAAACCAAAGUCCUGUUGGGGGCUGAAAAGGUGAAUGAGCUCAGGGGUUACAAGCCACAACAUAUGUAAAAAUUACAUCCUUCUCGUUAAGCUCUAAGCUGAAUUCCCCAGGCAUCCGCUGACAUCCAUAACUACAUACAUGCUUCUAGGCUAUACUGACCUUAGGUCCAAACAAACGCUGCCAGCCAGCAAGCUGAUUGACCUCAAACUCCCUAUCAGCCAGCCAGCUCCACUCCUCAGAUGUCACUGCAAUGUGCCCCACACUUUUACCCCAGAGAUUCAUCAAAGGCACUGGUGGCUUCCCAUGCUGCUCCCAGCACUUUGAGAUUCCCAGGAGCACUGUCCUGGGAAUUAAUCAGGCGGAAGAGAGAAAAACUGGAAGGGCAAAAGCACUAUUGGAGCUGCCCUUUCUGCUUGGAAGCAGCCUUCAAAAGUUCAGUGUCUGACAAGUGGUUCAAUUCACAAACAAAACAGAAGAGUUCCUGCUUUAAAAAAAAUACAGGGGAACCAUGACAAAAAAAGGGAUGCCUUAGCAGCAGUAUCACAGAGUUAAAGGUAAAAUUUGCUUUCAGUACAGUUCCCUUAAAGAAAUGUUUGCAUUUUCGUUUGGUUGAAGUCGUUAGGAAGCAGUCAGCUAUUGUACUGAAUUAAAUGCUUUUUAUUAUGCAAGGGCUGACACUGUCUGAGCCGUAACUGUGUAAAUGUGAACAGCAUAUUAAUUCAAACUCCAUAUGAUUGCACUUUACCACUAAAGGUCACUCAGCACUUUGUAUCUGCCAAGUCAGUGAUUUCUCAUGUGUGUUGUAUGGACCUCCAGAUGUCUAUGUGGUAUUUCUAUAUGGAAGAAGUGAACCAAGUCCUAUGAAAGGCAGGCUUCAGCUCACUGAGUGAACCACCAUGUUCUUAGAUAUAAAACGUAAGGCUAUUAAAAAAAAUCCUAAACUUUUAAUAAAGCCACAGUGAAAGUA